Molecule: ribosomal RNA, 1272 nt
Filed under: Acinetobacter sp. 88
Lineage: Bacteria; Pseudomonadati; Pseudomonadota; Gammaproteobacteria; Moraxellales; Moraxellaceae
Description: bacterial SSU rRNA
Rfam family: Bacterial small subunit ribosomal RNA
Source: RNAcentral
AUCUGCCUAUUAGUGGGGGACAACAUUUCGAAAGGAAUGCUAAUACCGCAUACGUCCUACGGGAGAAAGCAGGGGAUCUUCGGACCUUGCGCUAAUAGAUGAGCCUAAGUCGGAUUAGCUAGUUGGUGGGGUAAAGGCCUACCAAGGCGACGAUCUGUAGCGGGUCUGAGAGGAUGAUCCGCCACACUGGGACUGAGACACGGCCCAGACUCCUACGGGAGGCAGCAGUGGGGAAUAUUGGACAAUGGGCGCAAGCCUGAUCCAGCCAUGCCGCGUGUGUGAAGAAGGCCUUAUGGUUGUAAAGCACUUUAAGCGAGGAGGAGGCUACUUUAGUUAAUACCUAGAGAUAGUGGACGUUACUCGCAGAAUAAGCACCGGCUAACUCUGUGCCAGCAGCCGCGGUAAUACAGAGGGUGCAAGCGUUAAUCGGAUUUACUGGGCGUAAAGCGCGCGUAGGCGGCUAAUUAAGUCAAAUGUGAAAUCCCCGAGCUUAACUUGGGAAUUGCAUUCGAUACUGGUUAGCUAGAGUGUGGGAGAGGAUGGUAGAAUUCCAGGUGUAGCGGUGAAAUGCGUAGAGAUCUGGAGGAAUACCGAUGGCGAAGGCAGCCAUCUGGCCUAACACUGACGCUGAGGUGCGAAAGCAUGGGGAGCAAACAGGAUUAGAUACCCUGGUAGUCCAUGCCGUAAACGAUGUCUACUAGCCGUUGGGGCCUUUGAGGCUUUAGUGGCGCAGCUAACGCGAUAAGUAGACCGCCUGGGGAGUACGGUCGCAAGACUAAAACUCAAAUGAAUUGACGGGGGCCCGCACAAGCGGUGGAGCAUGUGGUUUAAUUCGAUGCAACGCGAAGAACCUUACCUGGCCUUGACAUAGUAAGAACUUUCCAGAGAUGGAUUGGUGCCUUCGGGAACUUACAUACAGGUGCUGCAUGGCUGUCGUCAGCUCGUGUCGUGAAAUGUUGGGUUAAGUCCCGCAACGAGCGCAACCCUUUUCCUUAUUUGCCAGCGAGUAAUGUCGGGAACUUUAAGGAUACUGCCAGUGACAAACUGGAGGAAGGCGGGGACGACGUCAAGUCAUCAUGGCCCUUACGGCCAGGGCUACACACGUGCUACAAUGGUCGGUACAAAGGGUUGCUACCUAGCGAUAGGAUGCUAAUCUCAAAAAGCCGAUCGUAGUCCGGAUUGGAGUCUGCAACUCGACUCCAUGAAGUCGGAAUCGCUAGUAAUCGCGGAUCAGAAUGCCGCGGUGAAUACGUUCCCGGGCCUUGUACACAC